RNAcentral lists this ribosomal RNA (431 nucleotides) under uncultured bacterium. Its description in RNAcentral is "bacterial SSU rRNA". It matches the Rfam family "Bacterial small subunit ribosomal RNA", at positions 28 to 441 of the family's 1533-position model. The record is from RNAcentral.
GAUGAACGCUGGCGGCGUGCUUAACACAUGCAAGUCGAACGAAGCACCUUGAUUUGAUUCUUCGGAUGAAGAUCUUGGUGACUGAGUGGCGGACGGGUGAGUAACGCGUGGGUAACCUGCCUCAUACAGGGGGAUAACAGUUAGAAAUGACUGCUAAUACCGCAUAAGACCACAGCACCGCAUGGUGCAGGGGUAAAAACUCCGGUGGUAUGAGAUGGACCCGCGUCUGAUUAGGUAGUUGGUGGGGUAACGGCCUACCAAGCCGACGAUCAGUAGCCGACCUGAGAGGGUGACCGGCCACAUUGGGACUGAGACACGGCCCAAACUCCUACGGGAGGCAGCAGUGGGGAAUAUUGCACAAUGGGGGAAACCCUGAUGCAGCGACGCCGCGUGAGCGAUGAAGUAUUUCGGUAUGUAAAGCUCUAUCAGCA